GCCUUUGUGGUGUAAUGGUUAGCACACUCGGCGCGUAUUGGAGAGGUCCAGGUUCGAGUCCUGGCGAGGGCA
Molecule: transfer RNA, 72 nt
Filed under: Stegodyphus mimosarum
Lineage: Eukaryota; Metazoa; Arthropoda; Arachnida; Araneae; Eresidae
Rfam family: tRNA
About the family: Transfer RNA (tRNA) molecules are approximately 80 nucleotides in length. Their secondary structure includes four short double-helical elements and three loops (D, anti-codon, and T loops).
Source: Rfam by way of RNAcentral